AAGCCACUCCUCCUCCUAUCUAUACCACUUCAGUUUCCUCCUGAAACCAUUCAGUUGGGUGGGAAACCACUAAGAGAACAGACCGUCAUGACUUACUCCAUUCCCAGUUCUGUACUUUUCUCGGAUCUCUUUGCAAUAAUUAGACUUUUUGUUUGCUGUUUCCUCACAGGUAUCGCUCUGGGGGUUCAGAUCCAUCAGUCGCCUUCUUCUCUCAUAAAGAAGGAAGGCGAUGAAGUUCAGCUAAUCUGUACCCACGACCAAAGUGACUACAGAGUGAUGCUCUGGUACCAGCGAUCACCCGGAGACACGGCUCUGAAGCUCAUCGGCUUCGGCUACACGCAGUUCAAAGACGACAGCGUGGAGGAGCCUUUCAGAAAACAUUUCAAACUGGCUGGAGAUCUGAGCGGAAACAGAAAAAAUGGUUCACUUUACAUAAAAGACCUGAACGUCCUUGAACACACGGCAACGUAUCUCUGUGCUGCUAGUGAGCCACAGUACGACAAACACCCAUCUGCUCCUGACAAAAACCUCCUCCCCUCUCCACUCUGAAAGUG
Molecule: non-coding RNA, 554 nt
Organism: Mugil cephalus (flathead mullet)
Lineage: Eukaryota; Metazoa; Chordata; Actinopteri; Mugiliformes; Mugilidae
Source: the annotation of a RefSeq genome assembly